This 465-nucleotide ribosomal RNA is filed under the name Vreelandella stevensii. RNAcentral's name for it is "partial 16S ribosomal RNA". It matches the Rfam family "Bacterial small subunit ribosomal RNA", at positions 338 to 795 of the family's 1533-position model. The record is from RNAcentral. Lineage: Bacteria; Pseudomonadati; Pseudomonadota; Gammaproteobacteria; Oceanospirillales; Halomonadaceae.
CCUACGGGUGGCUGCAGUGGGGAAUAUUGGACAAUGGGGGCAACCCUGAUCCAGCCAUGCCGCGUGUGUGAAGAAGGCCCUCGGGUUGUAAAGCACUUUCAGUGAGGAAGAACGCCUGGUGGUUAAUACCCAUCAGGAAAGACAUCACUCACAGAAGAAGCACCGGCUAACUCCGUGCCAGCAGCCGCGGUAAUACGGAGGGUGCGAGCGUUAAUCGGAAUUACUGGGCGUAAAGCGCGCGUAGGUGGCUUGAUAAGCCGGUUGUGAAAGCCCCGGGCUCAACCUGGGAACGGCAUCCGGAACUGUCAAGCUAGAGUGCAGGAGAGGAAGGUAGAAUUCCCGGUGUAGCGGUGAAAGGCGUAGAGAUCGGGAGGAAUACCAGUGGCGAAGGCGGCCUUCUGGACUGACACUGACACUGAGGUGCGAAAGCGUGGGUAGCAAACAGGAUUAGAUACCCUGGUAGUC